AGUCAUCAUCAUUGGUGACUAGAGUGGGUGUUAGAUAGUUGAACGAAGAUCAUGUACAAAGGUAAAUGCGUUCACCAUCCCGAGACCUAUCAUUCACAAACUAUCCUAAAAAACUGUAUUACUCCCUCAAUUAUCUAAGAAGUCAAGAUUUCAUAAGGAGAGAACUAAAAAACUAGAAUAGAUUGAAUAGCACACGACACUAUUAAUCUGCUAUAUAUACAUCCAUCGCCGACCUCCUCCCUUUUUAGUACUUUCAAUUUGCUUUGGCUGAUAUAUAGCCCAUUUUAUAGACACUGGAGCCAUCCUUUCCUCUAUGUGGACAUGGUUGGGGUCCGUCUUAACCCUGGCCAGGUAUAGAUCGAUAAUUAAGUUCAUAUGUACUAUUAUCUAUAGUAAUGUUUAGACCUACCUCUUCAAUUUAAUAAAUCUGUUGUGCUCAUCCCAUGCAGAAGCGACGGAGCUACACCCCAGGCCUUUUGUGUGUGUGUGGCUGGUCAUGGCGCUGAAAGCCUUCGUUCAUUGUUUGCACUAUUUCACACUGUAGCACCGAAGCAGCCUUGGGGCCAAGUGCUACCCUGGCUCCGCCCCUGCUGUGAAACAAUUGUUUGUAGAGCUUCACAUCAGGCCCACACAAAAAUAGGCAAAAUUAAUUACCCACCAAUAUUUUGGUUGAUUAAAAUGAAUCGAUCUUUCUUCAUCGAAUCCUUCAUUCGUCUCCUCAAUGGAUUGAAUAUAAUUACCAACAUUCGGGGGAACAACAACCAGAUGUUCAAAAUCUGACGUCAGAUUUUUAAGGAUUCUAAGUGAACACCAUCAUGCAUGUCGGAUCCCAAGUAUGAAUCUUGAAGCGUUCGCUCCAAACGCAUCCUAUGAGCGACGCUCAGAUGGCAAUAUGAGCAAACACGUUCGGGGAUGGCAAUUCUCAC
This 926-nucleotide long non-coding RNA is filed under the name Triticum aestivum (bread wheat). RNAcentral describes it as "long non-coding RNA (TAES_LNC009637)". The record is from RNAcentral. Lineage: Eukaryota; Viridiplantae; Streptophyta; Magnoliopsida; Poales; Poaceae.